RNAcentral lists this ribosomal RNA (253 nucleotides) under uncultured bacterium. Its description in RNAcentral is "partial 16S ribosomal RNA". It matches the Rfam family "Bacterial small subunit ribosomal RNA", at positions 524 to 776 of the family's 1533-position model. The record is from RNAcentral.
UACGGAGGGUGCAAGCGUUAUCCGGAUUCACUGGGUUUAAAGGGUGCGUAGGCGGAUUAAAAAGUCCGUUGUGAAAUCUCUGAGCUUAACUCGGAAAUUGCGGUGGAUACUAUUAGUCUUGAAUACUGUGGAGGUUAGCGGAAUAUGUCAUGUAGCGGUGAAAUGCAUAGAUAUGACAUAGAACACCAAUUGCGAAGGCAGCUGGCUACACAGAUAUUGACGCUGAGGCACGAAAGCGUGGGGAUCAAACAGG